This 496-nucleotide ribosomal RNA is filed under the name Psychrobacter sp. ARK-46. RNAcentral describes it as "bacterial SSU rRNA". It matches the Rfam family "Bacterial small subunit ribosomal RNA", at positions 9 to 497 of the family's 1533-position model. Lineage: Bacteria; Pseudomonadati; Pseudomonadota; Gammaproteobacteria; Moraxellales; Moraxellaceae. The record is from RNAcentral.
GAGUUUGAUCCUGGCUCAGAUUGAACGCUGGCGGCAGGCUUAACACAUGCAAGUCGAGCGGAAACGAUGGUAGCUUGCUNCCAGGCGUCGAGCGGCGGACGGGUGAGUAAUACUUAGGAAUCUACCUAGUAGUGGGGGAUAGCUCGGGGAAACUCGAAUUAAUACCGCAUACGACCUACGGGAGAAAGGGGGCAGUUUACUGCUCUCGCUAUUAGAUGAGCCUAAGUCGGAUUAGCUAGAUGGUGGGGUAAAGGCCUACCAUGGCGACGAUCUGUAGCUGGUCUGAGAGGAUGAUCAGCCACACCGGGACUGAGACACGGCCCGGACUCCUACGGGAGGCAGCAGUGGGGAAUAUUGGACAAUGGGGGAAACCCUGAUCCAGCCAUGCCGCGUGUGUGAAGACAGGCCUUUUGGUUGUAAAGCACUUUAAGCAGUGAAGAAGACUCCGUGGUUAAUACCCACGGACGAUGACAUUAGCUGCAGAAUAAGCACCGGC